RNAcentral lists this ribosomal RNA (497 nucleotides) under uncultured bacterium. RNAcentral describes it as "partial 16S ribosomal RNA". It matches the Rfam family "Bacterial small subunit ribosomal RNA", at positions 28 to 507 of the family's 1533-position model. The record is from RNAcentral.
GAUGAACGCUGGCGGCGUGCCUAAUACAUGCAAGUCGAGCGAACAGACGAGGAGCUUGCUCCUCUGACGUUAGCGGCGGACGGGUGAGUAACACGUGGAUAACCUACCUCUAAGACUGGGAUAACUUCGGGAAACCGGAGCUAAUACCGGAUAAUAUAUUGAACCGCCUGGUUCAAUAGUGAAAGACGGUUUUGCUGUCACUUAUAGAUGGAUCCGCGCCGCAUUAGCUAGUUGGUAAGGUAACGGCUUACCAAGGCAACGAUGCGUAGCCGACCUGCGAGGGUGAUCGGCCACACUGGAACUGAGACACGGUCCAGAAUCCUACGGGAGGCAGCAGUAGGGAAUCUUCCGCAAUGGGCGAAAGCCUGACGGAGCAACGCCGCGUGAGUGAUGAAGGUCUUCUGAUCGUAAAACUCUGUUAUUAGGGAAGAACAAAUGUGUAAGUAACUAUGCACGUCUUGACGGUACCUAAUCAGAAAGCCACGGCUAACUACGUG